Molecule: ribosomal RNA, 1155 nt
Filed under: Escherichia coli
Lineage: Bacteria; Pseudomonadati; Pseudomonadota; Gammaproteobacteria; Enterobacterales; Enterobacteriaceae
Description: partial 23S ribosomal RNA
Rfam family: Bacterial large subunit ribosomal RNA
Source: RNAcentral
GGUUAAGCGACUAAGCGUACACGGUGGAUGCCCUGGCAGUCAGAGGCGAUGAAGGACGUGCUAAUCUGCGAUAAGCGUCGGUGAGGUGAUAUGAACCGUUAUAACCGGCGAUUUCCGAAUGGGGAAACCCAGUGUGUUUCGACACACUAUCAUUAACUGAAUCCAUAGGUUAAUGAGGCGAACCGGGGGAACUGAAACAUCUAAGUACCCCGAGGAAAAGAAAUCAACCGAGAUUCCCCCAGUAGCGGCGAGCGAACGGGGAGGAGCCCAGAGCCUGAAUCAGUGUGUGUGUUAGUGGAAGCGUCUGGAAAGGCGCGCGAUACAGGGUGACAGCCCCGUACACAAAAAUGCACAUAUUGUGAGCUCGAUGAGUAGGGCGGGACACGUGGUAUCCUGUCUGAAUAUGGGGGGACCAUCCUCCAAGGCUAAAUACUCCUGACUGACCGAUAGUGAACCAGUACCGUGAGGGAAAGGCGAAAAGAACCCCGGCGAGGGGAGUGAAAAAGAACCUGAAACCGUGUACGUACAAGCAGUGGGAGCCUCUUAAUGGGGUGACUGCGUACCUUUUGUAUAAUGGGUCAGCGACUUAUAUUCUGUAGCAAGGUUAACCGAAUAGGGGAGCCGAAGGGAAACCGAGUCUUAACUGGGCGUUAAGUUGCAGGGUAUAGACCCGAAACCCGGUGAUCUAGCCAUGGGCAGGUUGAAGGUUGGGUAACACUAACUGGAGGACCGAACCGACUAAUGUUGAAAAAUUAGCGGAUGACUUGUGGCUGGGGGUGAAAGGCCAAUCAAACCGGGAGAUAGCUGGUUCUCCCCGAAAGCUAUUUAGGUAGCGCCUCGUGAAUUCAUCUCCGGGGGUAGAGCACUGUUUCGGCAAGGGGGUCAUCCCGACUUACCAACCCGAUGCAAACUGCGAAUACCGGAGAAUGUUAUCACGGGAGACACACGGCGGGUGCUAACGUCCGUCGUGAAGAGGGAAACAACCCAGACCGCCAGCUAAGGUCCCAAAGUCAUGGUUAAGUGGGAAACGAUGUGGGAAGGCCCAGACAGCCAGGAUGUUGGCUUAGAAGCAGCCAUCAUUUAAAGAAAGCGUAAUAGCUCACUGGUCGAGUCGGCCUGCGCGGAAGAUGUAACGGGGCUAAACCAUGCACCGAA